RNAcentral lists this small RNA (315 nucleotides) under Cryptococcus neoformans H99. RNAcentral's name for it is "Cryptococcus neoformans var. grubii H99 hypothetical RNA". The record is from RNAcentral. Lineage: Eukaryota; Fungi; Basidiomycota; Tremellomycetes; Tremellales; Cryptococcaceae.
CAUGAAGGUUAUCUUACUACUUGGAACAAUACUGCUAGCAUAAAGUUACAUCACACAUCAUCUUCGAUCUCUUGGCCUUCUUCUCUCUCUUCUCUCCUUUCUACAGGAUCUAAGGCCUAUAAUCUGCGUAGUGUCUCUCUAAUCUACUUUGUACCGUUUGCCGCUGUCUUUUAUUAUGCCUCAUACCUCGCGACCCAUGUGUGACUAUUGGCUCAUUGCAAAGAAGAUCAGGGGUGAUCAACGAUAAUUGAGAUAUUUUUAUCUAUUGACCUCUGCGUAAUGGAUUUCUUGAUCCCUUUUAGUGGAUUUUCUAAU